GCAUGGUUAGCUCAGUCGAUAAAGCAUAAGACUCUUAAUCUCAGGGCUGUGGGUUUGAGCCCGUUGGGGGGGAAAUAUUUAUGCA
This is a non-coding RNA of Podarcis lilfordi (Lilford's wall lizard), 85 nucleotides long. The record is from the annotation of a GenBank genome assembly. Lineage: Eukaryota; Metazoa; Chordata; Lepidosauria; Squamata; Lacertidae.